UACGUAGGGGCCUAGCGUUGUCCGGAUUUAUUGGGCGUAAAGAGCUCGUAGGCGGUUUGUCGCGUCUGCUGUGAAAACUCGGGGCUUAACCCCGGGCCUGCAGUGGGUACGGGCAGACUAGAGUGCGGUAGGGGAGACUGGAAUUCCUGGUGUAGCGGUGAAAUGCGUAGAUAUCAGGAGGAACACCGGUGGCGAAGGCGGCUUUCUGGACAGAAACUGACGCUGAUGCGCGAAAGCUAGGGGAGCAAACAGG
This 253-nucleotide ribosomal RNA is filed under the name uncultured bacterium. Its description in RNAcentral is "partial 16S ribosomal RNA". It matches the Rfam family "Bacterial small subunit ribosomal RNA", at positions 524 to 776 of the family's 1533-position model. The record is from RNAcentral.